AGGUAGCGACAAUGAUCCUUCCGUAGCAAAAAUGUUGAUAUGACUCUGAAGGA
This 53-nucleotide small RNA is filed under the name Arabidopsis thaliana (thale cress). RNAcentral describes it as "ATSL228330". Lineage: Eukaryota; Viridiplantae; Streptophyta; Magnoliopsida; Brassicales; Brassicaceae. The record is from RNAcentral.